GGCAAAUGAUGAGAAAUACUAUCAUGACGACUUUCCAAGACUUUGUGGACACCACUCCAGACCUCGCGAGGGGUCAGCUGCAUUUGUGAUGCUGCCUAAAACGUUUAUAAUCUUGGUGGGCGCCUCUUGUCUGAAUACGCGCUCGCUGUAAAGGCGGACGGACACUAAAAUCUGUCGAUCUUUGGGGGACACUGACCGAGGCAUGUCUGUGUCCUAAAAAUCGUGCAGGACAUUUCUUUGUCCCAUGUCUUCAUCCGUGCGUAUGUGUGCGUGUGUACAUGUGUCAUGUUUUGUCUUUGAUGUGCGGUGUUCGAAUGCAGUAGGAGUGGUAGUCUGCAAGGUCUUGGUGAAUGAUUGAUAUUUUAGUAUUCUGAUGCCA
Molecule: small nucleolar RNA, 379 nt
Organism: Sycon ciliatum
Lineage: Eukaryota; Metazoa; Porifera; Calcarea; Leucosolenida; Sycettidae
Source: RefSeq, a predicted model, not a curated record